AUUGAACGCUGGCGGAAUGCUUUACACAUGCAAGUCGAACGGUAGAGGGGGCAACCCCUCGAGAGUGGCGAACGGGUGAGUAAUAUAUCGGAACGUGCCCAGUCGUGGGGGAUAACGUAGCGAAAGUUACGCUAAUACCGCAUACGAUCUAAGGAUGAAAGCGGGAGAUCGCAAGACCUCGCGCGAUUGGGGCGGCCGCUAUAAGAUUAGGUAGGUGGUGGGGUAAAGGCUCAACAACCCAACGAAUCUGUGGCUGGGCUGAGAGGACGACCAGCCAAACUGGAACUGAGACACUGUCCAGACUCCUACGGGAGGCAGCAGUGGGGAAUUUUGGACAAUGGACGCAAGUCUGAUCCAGCCAUUCCGCGUGCAGGAUGAAGGCCCUCGGGUUGUAAACUGCUUUUGUACGGAACGAAAAGGUCUCUCUUAAUACGGGGGGCUCAUGACGGUACCGUAAGAAUAAGCACCGGCUAACUACGUGCCAGCCGCCGCUGUAA
RNAcentral lists this ribosomal RNA (497 nucleotides) under uncultured bacterium. Its description in RNAcentral is "partial 16S ribosomal RNA". It matches the Rfam family "Bacterial small subunit ribosomal RNA", at positions 30 to 523 of the family's 1533-position model. The record is from RNAcentral.